UCCGUAGGGUGCAAUCGUUGUUCGGAAUCAUUGGGCGUAAAGCGCGUGUAGGCGGCCUACUAAGUCUGAUGUGAAAGCCCGGGGCUCAACCCCGGAAGUGCAUUGGAUACUGGUUGGCUAGAGGGCGAGAGAGGGAAGUGGAAUUCCUGGUGUAGGGGUGAAAUCCGUAGAUAUCAGGAGGAACAUCGGUGGCGAAGGCGGCUUCCUGGCUCGUUUCUGACGCUCAGACGCGAAAGCGUGGGUAGAAAACAGG
RNAcentral lists this ribosomal RNA (253 nucleotides) under uncultured bacterium. RNAcentral's name for it is "partial 16S ribosomal RNA". It matches the Rfam family "Bacterial small subunit ribosomal RNA", at positions 524 to 776 of the family's 1533-position model. The record is from RNAcentral.